RNAcentral lists this ribosomal RNA (368 nucleotides) under uncultured Streptococcus sp. RNAcentral describes it as "bacterial SSU rRNA". It matches the Rfam family "Bacterial small subunit ribosomal RNA", at positions 1008 to 1382 of the family's 1533-position model. The record is from RNAcentral. Lineage: Bacteria; Bacillati; Bacillota; Bacilli; Lactobacillales; Streptococcaceae.
ACCCAAGUACCGGUAGGUACGACGGUUGGUGCUAGUGUUGCCGUCAGCUCGUGUCGUGAGAUGUUGGGUUAAGUCCCGCAACGAGCGCAACCCCUAUUGUUAGUUGCCAUCAUUCAGUUGGGCACUCUAGCGAGACCGCCGGUAAUAAACCGGAGGAAGGUGGGAUGACGUCAAAUCAUCAUGCCCCUUAUGACCUGGGCUACACACGUGCUACAAUGGUUGGUACAACGAGUUGCGAGUCGGUGACGGCGAGCUAAUCUCUUAAAGCCAAUCUCAGUUCGGAUUGUAGGCUGCAACUCGCCUACAUGAAGUCGGAAUCGCUAGUAAUCGCGGAUCAGCACGCCGCGGUGAAUACGUUCCCGGGCCUU